This 440-nucleotide ribosomal RNA is filed under the name uncultured bacterium. RNAcentral describes it as "partial 16S ribosomal RNA". It matches the Rfam family "Bacterial small subunit ribosomal RNA", at positions 338 to 795 of the family's 1533-position model. The record is from RNAcentral.
CCUACGGGUGACAGCAGUGAGGAAUAUUGGUCAAUGGACGCAAGUCUGAACCAGCCAUGCCGCGUGAGUGAAGAAGUAUUUCGGUACGUAAAGCUCUAUCAGCAGGGAAGAAAAUGACGGUACCUGACUAAGAAGCCCCGGCUAACUACGUGCCAGCAGCCGCGGUAAUACGUAGGGGGCAAGCGUUAUCCGGAUUUACGGGGUGUAAAGGGAGCGUAGACGGCAGCGCAAGUCUGAAGUGAAAUCCCAUGGCUUAACCAUGGAACUGCUUUGGAAACUGUGCAGCUGGAGUGCAGGAGAGGUAAGCGGAAUUCCUAGUGUAGCGGUGAAAUGCGUAGAUAUUAGGAGGAACACCAGUGGCGAAGGCGGCUUACUGGACUGUAACUGACGUUGAGGCUCGAAAGCGUGGGGAGCAAACAGGAUUAGAUACCCCAGUAGUC